This is a long non-coding RNA of Hydractinia symbiolongicarpus, 997 nucleotides long. RefSeq lists it as uncharacterized. The transcript is spliced from 3 exons. Lineage: Eukaryota; Metazoa; Cnidaria; Hydrozoa; Anthoathecata; Hydractiniidae. The record is from RefSeq and is a predicted model, not a curated record.
UGAUCAGAGAUAAAAAUUGGAGGAAACUUUUUUUAAUUGGUAAUAGAGAUGGAGUGAUUUAAUGUAAGCAUGGUAAUGUUUUCUAAAAAUCCUUUUUUUUUAAGUUAUCAAUACGUGAUUGAUGCGUGUAAUUAUUAUUAAAUAAAUAAUAUAAAUGUAAAUAUAUAUAAAACUUAUAUAAAUGAGAUGAACAAACAGUUAGACAAUAUAAAGGAAAGUUGUAGCUUCGAAAAAGACAGUUCGCGACAUUAUUUUAGUUAUAAACGUGCUAAAGAACAUUACGUUUGAAGGAAGAAAACAUACUUGAAAUGUAUCCAUUUACAAAAUCUGGAGACAAAAAGAAGGAAAAGUCAGUUGACAAGAAGAAAUUCGUUAUAAAAACAACAAAAGUAAAAUGUGUUACCAUUGUUUCAUCAAGUGGUUCGAAAUUUAAACUGAAGUAAAUACAUUUAUGUUUUAAAAAGAGAGAGGUAUCUUUGAAUGCAAACCAGAGAAUGCAAUCACUGCAAAGAAUGUACGAAACGUGAAGGAUUCAGACGACUAAAUACAUUUGAAUUAUUAUGGACAUCAGUGUCCCAGUUGCAAAGAUGUAAUUUCACAGACAUGCGAAUAUACUGUGUCAACAAAUAAAUCUUAAAAAGUAUUUUCAAAGAUAUUUCCAGAGAGAACUUUACUUGAUCGAAUUUGGUUUUAUAGUAAUAUUUAUAAUUCGUUCAUAGUAUGACUGUUUGAUUAUUUUUGAAAUUUUUCUAAUGUCAACUGUAUGUGCGUAGUAUAAGCUUGUUAGUUGCAAGGACUACAAUGUUGUUGAUUGUUUGUAAAUACCAUUUCUUGUCCAUAUAUUAUUUAUCAUAUAUAACAUAUAUAAGUUACUGAAUAGAAUCGUCUGUCCAAUGUUUGCUUCAAGAGAUCUGAUUUAGCAGAUGUGUAGGUCUGGUAAACACCAGUGAUAAUGCCCUACAUACAGUUUCACUUAUGCCCCCGAAAAAUCGUAAAA